This 413-nucleotide ribosomal RNA is filed under the name uncultured bacterium. RNAcentral describes it as "partial 16S ribosomal RNA". The stretch from base 171 to 413 matches the Rfam family "Bacterial small subunit ribosomal RNA", at positions 1 to 229 of the family's 1533-position model. The record is from RNAcentral.
AUGAUCGGGAAGUGUAGGAUCAAACGGUUGACUCUUUCGGGGAGAAAAAAGCCCUGAAGAGAAAGACGCCCUGUGGAAACGCAGGGAGAGCGUCUCGGAUCAUUGACAACUAAAUAGGAGCAGCAACGUCCAAUUAAAGGGCCCUGAUCACGAAACACAGGAACAAAAUGAAUCUGGAGAGUUUGAUCCUGGCUCAGAACGAACGCUGGCGGCGUGCCUAACACAUGCAAGUCCAACGUGAAAGGGGAGCAAUCCCCCGGUAGGGUGGCAAACGGGUGAGUAAUACAUGGGUGAUCUACCUUAGGGAUGGGGAUAUCCUUCCGAAAGGAGGGGCAAUACCGAAUAUUGUCCGGAGCCGUGAAGGGUUCCGGGGAAAGGGAGGCCUCUGAUACAAGCUUUCGCCUUAAGAUGAG